This 1450-nucleotide ribosomal RNA is filed under the name uncultured Oscillospiraceae bacterium. Its description in RNAcentral is "bacterial SSU rRNA". It matches the Rfam family "Bacterial small subunit ribosomal RNA". Lineage: Bacteria; Bacillati; Bacillota; Clostridia; Eubacteriales; Oscillospiraceae. The record is from RNAcentral.
GACGAACGCUGGCGGCGCGCCUAACACAUGCAAGUCGAACGGAGAUAUUCGCUGAGAAACACUUCGGUGUGGAUCUUGGGUAUCUUAGUGGCGGACGGGUGAGUAACACGUGAGCAACCUGCCGAAGAGUGGGGGAUAACGUCUGGAAACGGACGCUAAUACCGCAUAACAUCGGGGAGAGGCAUCUUUUCCCGAUCAAAGGAGCAAUCCGCUUUUUGAUGGGCUCGCGCCCGAUUAGAUAGUUGGUGAGGUAACGGCUCACCAAGUCGACGAUCGGUAGCCGGACUGAGAGGUUGAUCGGCCACAUUGGGACUGAGACACGGCCCAGACUCCUACGGGAGGCAGCAGUGGGGGAUAUUGCACAAUGGGGGAAACCCUGAUGCAGCGACGCCGCGUGGGUGAAGACGGCCUUCGGGUUGUAAAGCCCUGUUGAGGGGGACGAUAAUGACGGUACCCCUUUAGAAAGCCACGGCUAACUACGUGCCAGCAGCCGCGGUAAUACGUAGGUGGCGAGCGUUGUCCGGAAUUACUGGGUGUAAAGGGAGCGUAGGCGGGGCAGUAAGUUAGAUGUGAAAUACCGCGGCUCAACCGCGGGGCUGCAUCUAAAACUAUUGCUCUUGAGUGAGGUAGAGGCAGGCGGAAUUCCUAGUGUAGCGGUGAAAUGCGUAGAUAUUAGGAGGAACACCAGUGGCGAAGGCGGCCUGCUGGGCCUUAACUGACGCUGAUGCUCGAAAGCGUGGGGAGCAAACAGGAUUAGAUACCCUGGUAGUCCACGCUGUAAACGAUGAUUACUAGGUGUGGGGGGUCUGACCCCUUCCGUGCCGGAGUUAACACAAUAAGUAAUCCACCUGGGGAGUACGGCCGCAAGGUUGAAACUCAAAAGAAUUGACGGGGGCCCGCACAAGCAGUGGAUUAUGUGGUUUAAUUCGAAGCAACGCGAAGAACCUUACCAGGUCUUGACAUCCUGCGACAACCCUGGAGACAGGGCUUUCCUUCGGGACGCAGAGACAGGUGGUGCAUGGUUGUCGUCAGCUCGUGUCGUGAGAUGUUGGGUUAAGUCCCGCAACGAGCGCAACCCUUACGGUUAGUUGCUACGCAAGAGCACUCUAGCCGGACUGCCGUUGACAAAACGGAGGAAGGUGGGGAUGACGUCAAAUCAUCAUGCCCUUUAUGACCUGGGCUACACACGUAAUACAAUGGCGCGCAACAAUGGGCAGCGAAGGGGCGACCUGGAGCGAAUCCCCAAAACGCGUCUCAGUUCGGAUCGCAGGCUGCAACUCGCCUGCGUGAAGUCGGAAUUGCUAGUAAUCGUGGAUCAGCACGCCACGGUGAAUACGUUCCCGGGCCUUGUACACACCGCCCGUCACACCAUGGGAGUCGGUAACACCCGAAGUCGGUAGCCUGACCUUUUAGGAGGGCGCCGCCGAAGGUGGGAUUGAUGACUGGGGUG